UAAGACCGGAGCUAAUACCGGAUAAGAUAUCGAACCGCAUGGUUCGAUAGUGAAAGAUGGUUUUGCUAUCACUUAUAGAUGGACCCGCGCCGUAUUAGCUAGUUGGUGAGGUAACGGCUCACCAAGGCAACGAUACGUAGCCGACCUGAGAGGGUGAUCGGCCACACUGGAACUGAGACACGGUCCAGACUCCUACGGGAGGCAGCAGG
RNAcentral lists this ribosomal RNA (209 nucleotides) under uncultured Staphylococcus sp. RNAcentral describes it as "partial 16S ribosomal RNA". It matches the Rfam family "Bacterial small subunit ribosomal RNA", at positions 152 to 354 of the family's 1533-position model. Lineage: Bacteria; Bacillati; Bacillota; Bacilli; Caryophanales; Staphylococcaceae. The record is from RNAcentral.